This 99-nucleotide transfer RNA is filed under the name Trichophyton benhamiae CBS 112371. RNAcentral's name for it is "Arthroderma benhamiae CBS 112371 tRNA". It matches the Rfam family "tRNA". From Rfam's summary of the family: Transfer RNA (tRNA) molecules are approximately 80 nucleotides in length. Lineage: Eukaryota; Fungi; Ascomycota; Eurotiomycetes; Onygenales; Arthrodermataceae. The record is from Rfam by way of RNAcentral.
GGCCGCGUGGCCUAAUGGUUAGGGCGUCGGAUUUCGGUUCUCCUUGAAAGCAAGGGUGUAUACCUCCGAAGGAUGUGCGUUCGAAUCGCAUCGUGGUCG